Molecule: ribosomal RNA, 500 nt
Filed under: uncultured Pseudonocardia sp.
Lineage: Bacteria; Bacillati; Actinomycetota; Actinomycetes; Pseudonocardiales; Pseudonocardiaceae
Description: bacterial SSU rRNA
Rfam family: Bacterial small subunit ribosomal RNA
Source: RNAcentral
AGAGUUUGAUCCUGGCUCAGGACGAACGCUGGCGGCGUGCUUAACACAUGCAAGUCGAGCGGUAAGGCCCUUCGGGGUACACGAGCGGCGAACGGGUGAGUAACACGUGGGUGACCUGCCCCCUACUCUGGGAUAAGCCUGGGAAACUGGGUCUAAUACCGGAUAUGACUACAUGUCGCAUGGUGUGUGGUGGAAAGUUUUUCGGUGGGGGAUGGGCCCGCGGCCUAUCAGCUUGUUGGUGGGGUGAUGGCCUACCAAGGCGACGACGGGUAGCCGGCCUGAGAGGGCGACCGGCCACACUGGGACUGAGACACGGCCCAGACUCCUACGGGAGGCAGCAGUGGGGAAUAUUGCGCAAUGGGCGGAAGCCUGACGCAGCGACGCCGCGUGGGGGAUGACGGCCUUCGGGUUGUAAACCUCUUUCGGCCCCGACGAAGCGUGAGUGACGGUAGGGGUAGAAGAAGCACCGGCCAACUACGUGCCAGCAGCCGCGGUAAUAC